RNAcentral lists this ribosomal RNA (1180 nucleotides) under Bacillus atrophaeus. Its description in RNAcentral is "bacterial SSU rRNA". It matches the Rfam family "Bacterial small subunit ribosomal RNA", at positions 99 to 1266 of the family's 1533-position model. The record is from RNAcentral. Lineage: Bacteria; Bacillati; Bacillota; Bacilli; Caryophanales; Bacillaceae.
CGGACGGGUGAGUAACACGUGGGUAACCUGCCUGUAAGACUGGGAUAACUCCGGGAAACCGGGGCUAAUACCGGAUGCUUGUUUGAACCGCAUGGUUCAAACAUAAAAGGUGGCUUCGGCUACCACUUACAGAUGGACCCCCGGCGCAUUAGCUAGUUGGUGAGGUAAUGGCUCACCAAGGCAACGAUGCGUAGCCGACCUGAGAGGGUGAUCGGCCACACUGGGACUGAGACACGGCCCAGACUCCUACGGGAGGCAGCAGUAGGGAAUCUUCCGCAAUGGACGAAAGUCUGACGGAGCAACGCCGCGUGAGUGAUGAAGGUUUUCGGAUCGUAAAGCUCUGUUGUUAGGGAAGAACAAGUGCCGUUCAAAUAGGGCGGCACCUUGACGGUACCUAACCAGAAAGCCACGGCUAACUACGUGCCAGCAGCCGCGGUAAUACGUAGGUGGCAAGCGUUGUCCGGAAUUAUUGGGCGUAAAGGGCUCGCAGGCGGUUUCUUAAGUCUGAUGUGAAAGCCCCCGGCUCAACCGGGGAGGGUCAUUGGAAACUGGGGAACUUGAGUGCAGAAGAGGAGAGUGGAAUUCCACGUGUAGCGGUGAAAUGCGUAGAGAUGUGGAGGAACACCAGUGGCGAAGGCGACUCUCUGGUCUGUAACUGACGCUGAGGAGCGAAAGCGUGGGGAGCGAACAGGAUUAGAUACCCUGGUAGUCCACGCCGUAAACGAUGAGUGCUAAGUGUUAGGGGGUUUCCGCCCCUUAGUGCUGCAGCUAACGCAUUAAGCACUCCGCCUGGGGAGUACGGUCGCAAGACUGAAACUCAAAGGAAUUGACGGGGGCCCGCACAAGCGGUGGAGCAUGUGGUUUAAUUCGAAGCAACGCGAAGAACCUUACCAGGUCUUGACAUCCUCUGACACCCCUAGAGAUAGGGCUUCCCCUUCGGGGGCAGAGUGACAGGUGGUGCAUGGUUGUCGUCAGCUCGUGUCGUGAGAUGUUGGGUUAAGUCCCGCAACGAGCGCAACCCUUGAUCUUAGUUGCCAGCAUUCAGUUGGGCACUCUAAGGUGACUGCCGGUGACAAACCGGAGGAAGGUGGGGAUGACGUCAAAUCAUCAUGCCCCUUCUGGCCUGGGCUCCCCGCGUGCUACAGUGGUCGGUAAGGGGGCUGCGUGUCCGCGGGGUUGG